Molecule: ribosomal RNA, 478 nt
Filed under: uncultured bacterium
Lineage: Bacteria
Description: partial 16S ribosomal RNA
Rfam family: Bacterial small subunit ribosomal RNA
Source: RNAcentral
GACGAACGCUGGCGGCGUGCUUAACACAUGCAAGUCGAGCGAUGAAGUUCCUUCGGGAACGGAUUAGCGGCGGACGGGUGAGUAACACGUGGGUAACCUGCCUCAUAGAGGGGAAUAGCCUUUCGAAAGGUAGAUUAAUACCGCAUAAGAUUGUAGUAUCGCAUGAUACAGCAAUUAAAGGAGUAAUCCGCUAUGAGAUGGACCCGCGUGGCAUUAGUUAGUUGGUGAGGUAACGGCUCACCAAGGCGACGAUGCGUAGCCGACCUGAGAGGGUGAUCGGCCAGAUUGGGACUGAGACACGGCCCAGACUCCUACGGGAGGCAGCAGUGGGGAAUAUUGCACAAUGGGGGAAACCCUGAUGCAGCAACGCCGCGUGAGUGAUGACGGUCUUCGGACUGUAAAGCUCUGUCUUCAGGGACGAUAAUGACGGUACCUGAGGAGGAAGCCACGGCUAACUACGUGCCAGCAGCCGCGGUAA